CGGGGCGUAGCGCAGUGGGAGCGCACUCGUUUGGGGUGCGAGUGGUCGGCGGUUCGAGUCCGCCCGCCCCGACCA
RNAcentral lists this transfer RNA (75 nucleotides) under Coprothermobacter sp. Its description in RNAcentral is "tRNA-Pro". It matches the Rfam family "tRNA". Rfam says of the family: Transfer RNA (tRNA) molecules are approximately 80 nucleotides in length. Their secondary structure includes four short double-helical elements and three loops (D, anti-codon, and T loops). Lineage: Bacteria; Pseudomonadati; Coprothermobacterota; Coprothermobacteria; Coprothermobacterales; Coprothermobacteraceae. The record is from RNAcentral.